Molecule: ribosomal RNA, 253 nt
Filed under: uncultured bacterium
Lineage: Bacteria
Description: partial 16S ribosomal RNA
Rfam family: Bacterial small subunit ribosomal RNA
Source: RNAcentral
UACGGGGGGGGCAAGCGUUGUUCGGAAUUACUGGGCGUAAAGGGCUCGUAGGUGGCCAACUAAGUCAUACGUGAAAUCCCUCGGCUUAACCGGGGAACUGCGUCUGAUACUGGAUGGCUUGAGGUUGGGAGAGGGAUGCGGAAUUCCAGGUGUAGCGGUGAAAUACGUAGAUAUCUGGAGGAACACCGGUGGCGAAGGCGGCAUCCUGGACCAAUUCUGACACUGAGGCGCGAAAGCCAGGGGAGCGAACGGG